GCAAGCUUUAUUCUUAUUUGCGUCUGGGCUCCAAGGAGAAAAUGGGGGGUUCCAAGUGCCAGCUUACACAACGCUCUCAUGGAGGCACAGAGACGGUCUCUGCAGCUGUGUUUCUGGGAUGAGAAGUGAAGUCACUGCAAACACUGAGUACAGGAAGAAAGCUGAGGCUUGUCUUCAUCUUGCAAGAUGUCUGGGCACCUAAUGCUUCGGAAGACGUUGGUUCUCAGAAGGUCAUGCCGGCAUCCAGGGGCAAAAUCUGGGUCUGCUUGACCGAGGACUCCGCAAAUCCCAGAGCAGGCCUGAACCGGGAUUCUCUUGAAGUGUAAGUGCUGCACUGUGAACCCGGGAGGCAUUCACUAAAUAUUGUGGAAGAUGACGUGAGUGGAGCCAUAUUAAAAUAGAGCCAGAGCAGCCACUUUGGAGGCAUUGCCUUGCACAUCUUGUUUUCCCUAUCUUGCAAACUGGACCAAAAUGCCAACAUUCCAAGAAGUCAGUAAGGAUAAGAAUAUCCUGUCUGUAAGGACUGAUGAAACUAGACUUUUCUGAUGACUGCAUUGCUAACCAAUCAGUGAAGUACAAGUCUAGCGUUUGCCUGAAGAUCGACCUCAGGUCAAUCUAAGAAGUCGAAAUCCAGCCUCACCUUACCCAACACCAACGCACUCUUCUUUAAUACAGCUCACUUCAUCCUCCCCCUUUGCCAUAAAAACCCUAAGCUCUUCUCCUAUAAUCAGGACACUAUUUGGGUUUGUACGUGAAUCUGUGCUCCCCAAAUUGCAAUUCGUUGAUCCCAAAAAAACGCUUUGCCUCUUAAACUGGUUUCUGUUUUUGUGGGUUGACAAUAUCUUCUUGAAUCUGGGGUCAGGACAUCUGGGUUUGAGGCUUGCAAUUAGUGGCUGUGUGACCCAGGUCGUCAGAUCUUUC
RNAcentral lists this long non-coding RNA (921 nucleotides) under Equus caballus (horse). Its description in RNAcentral is "lncRNA (ENSECAG00000048302.1)". The record is from RNAcentral. Lineage: Eukaryota; Metazoa; Chordata; Mammalia; Perissodactyla; Equidae.